This 1119-nucleotide ribosomal RNA is filed under the name Burkholderiaceae bacterium. RNAcentral's name for it is "bacterial SSU rRNA". It matches the Rfam family "Bacterial small subunit ribosomal RNA", at positions 57 to 1179 of the family's 1533-position model. Lineage: Bacteria; Pseudomonadati; Pseudomonadota; Betaproteobacteria; Burkholderiales; Burkholderiaceae. The record is from RNAcentral.
GCAGUCGACGNNANNANGGGGGNAACCCUGGUGGCGAGUGGCGAACGGGUGAGUAAUACAUCGGAACGUGUCCUGUAGUGGGGGAUAGCCCGGCGAAAGCCGGAUUAAUACCGCAUACGAUCUACGGAAGAAAGCGGGGGACCGAAAGGCCUCGCGCUAUAGGGGCGGCCGAUGGCAGAUUAGCUAGUUGGUGGGGUAAAGGCCUACCAAGGCGACGAUCUGUAGCUGGUCUGAGAGGACGACCAGCCACACUGGGACUGAGACACGGCCCAGACUCCUACGGGAGGCAGCAGUGGGGAAUUUUGGACAAUGGGGGAAACCCUGAUCCAGCAAUGCCGCGUGUGUGAAGAAGGCCUUCGGGUUGUAAAGCACUUUUGUCCGGAAAGAAAACUUCUGCCCUAAUACGGUGGGAGGAUGACGGUACCGGAAGAAUAAGCACCGGCUAACUACGUGCCAGCAGCCGCGGUAAUACGUAGGGUGCGAGCGUUAAUCGGAAUUACUGGGCGUAAAGCGUGCGCAGGCGGUUCGUUAAGACAGAUGUGAAAUCCCCGGGCUUAACCUGGGAACUGCAUUUGUGACUGGCGAGCUAGAGUAUGGCAGAGGGGGGUAGAAUUCCACGUGUAGCAGUGAAAUGCGUAGAGAUGUGGAGGAAUACCGAUGGCGAAGGCAGCCCCCUGGGCCAAUACUGACGCUCAUGCACGAAAGCGUGGGGAGCAANCAGGAUUAGAUACCCUGGUAGUCCACGCCCUAANCGAUGUCAACUAGUUGUUGGGGAUUCAUUUCCUUAGUAACGUAGCUAACGCGUGAAGUUGACCGCCUGGGGAGUACGGUCGCAAGAUUAAAACUCAANGGAAUUGACGGGGACCCGCACAAGCGGUGGAUGAUGUGGAUUAAUUCGAUGCAACGCGAAAAACCUUACCUACCCUUGACAUGGUCGGAACCCUGCUGAAAGGUGGGGGUGCUCGAAAGAGAACCGAUACACAGGUGCUGCAUGGCUGUCGUCAGCUCGUGUCGUGAGAUGUUGGGUUAAGUCCCGCAACGAGCGCAACCCUUGUCCUUAGUUGCUACGCAAGANCACUCUAAGGNNACUGCCGGUGACAAACCGGNNNAAGGUGGGGA